CAUCACAGAACAGGCAGAGGCAGUUCAGGGGGGAUUCUGGUUGCAUUUUCCCAGCUCUGAAGUCUGUCAGCCUCUUCAGAUGUCACUUGCUCUGUGGUAAGGAAGUGUAGUCGGCAGCUGGUGCCGUGGCAAGCAGAGAAAGGAAGUUCCCCAAGACAAAAACAUCUCGGCAGACAGUGAUCAUGGGCUACAUUUUCCAUACCAACUUCAUAGCUCCAGUGAGAAAAUAAAUUCCUGCAUCCAGGAGACGUGGAGUAAGAGAUACAGCUGCCCUUGACCAUAUUUCUUACUUCUGAGAAGAUUGCAGCAGUAAUUCAGGUAUCAACAAGUGGAGUUGACAAGAGUAACAAGUGGUCAGAGCAAAGCAUUUCAUGAUAACUGUAAUGUGCCUGCAUCAGCAGCGACUGCUUACAGUGAGAUUCACAUGACCAUUGUUUAUGAGAUAGGAAGAAUAAAAGGAGAGGGAGAAAAACAUAGGUAGUUGAUCUAAA
RNAcentral lists this long non-coding RNA (491 nucleotides) under Pongo abelii (Sumatran orangutan). RNAcentral describes it as "lncRNA (ENSPPYG00000035693.1)". Lineage: Eukaryota; Metazoa; Chordata; Mammalia; Primates; Hominidae. The record is from RNAcentral.